AAAGGGUGAGCUCAACUAGCCCAGUAAAGAAUAUUAUGACUAAGAUAAUAUACAACAAAUUAUCGUUAGUCUUCAACAGGGAAAAAUCUAAUAGAAUACAAUAGACAACAAGUUUUAGAUCAACAAAUGCAGCGGAAACAACAAUCCAUUAGAAGAGUCACGUAGAGAAAGAAUUCUACUGUCUUCUAAGGUUUAAAAGUCCAUCAUCAAUAGUUUAUCCCUGUAAUAACAAUCAAUAUACAUCUUUAAUCAUCUUUGCACUACAGGCCAAAGAUAUUCAUUUGUAUCACCAG
RNAcentral lists this long non-coding RNA (293 nucleotides) under Panax ginseng (ginseng). RNAcentral describes it as "long non-coding RNA (PGIN_LNC006155)". Lineage: Eukaryota; Viridiplantae; Streptophyta; Magnoliopsida; Apiales; Araliaceae. The record is from RNAcentral.